UUCACUUGUUCGAAUUUCUGCAAAGCCAAAUAACUUUUGCAAAUUGCCACUCUCAAUCACUCGAAAUCUCUAAAUUCAUUUUUCCCCUCCUUUCAAACUUCAAAUGGGGUUUUCUUAAGCUGAUUGAUGGACUAAAGUCUUAAAACUUUUGGGCUAUAAGAGAGUUUUCUAUGAGUGCUUUAUUGGUAAUCUCAGAGGUGAUCGUGAUCAGGGAGUUUCAAGAUGAUCUCUUCAAGCCUUUGUCCUCAAUUUGUCUGGGUUUGACUGUCUGCCCUGAAUGAUUAGAUGUGAUGCUAAUUGGGUGAUGCUGAUGGGUGAUGGAUGAAGUUAUCACUAGUAGUACUACUAUCAUAGUUGUUUUAUUCACCUCAUGAGAAGAAGAGGCAAGAGUAUAUUUCAAUGGCACUACUUUUGAAUUUGGGCCGAUCCUUUUCAAUGCAGAUGAACAUUUUUCUCCCCAAACUCUUGCCUACUUAUUCUUUUUCUUCAUUUUCUGACUCUGAACAGCGGCUACCACCACCACCGCAAAUAUGGCACUUGGAGACUGAGCCCAAACCCAUACUUCCAACAAUUGAACCAUCAAAAAAUGCUGAUUUAAUAUCCCAAAUCAUUCUCCAACACCACAACCCUUUCCACGCCACAGAAUCCUCUUUCCAGCUCAAUGGAAUCACUCUCACAACCUCCUUAGUCCACCAAAUUCUCCUUCGCCUUCAUCACUCUUCAAAAGUUGCCCUUGCCUUUUUCCAAUAUUGUCAGUUCCACCAUCCUUCCUAUUGCCAUGACACCACCGCUUUCAACCUCCUUGUGGAUAGUCUCUGCAAAGUCCGCCAGUUUGAUGUUGCUUGGCAACUCAUUGUCCAGAUGGACCAGGAAAGCAACAAUCUUAGGCCUAAUUUUACCACAUUUUAUAUCCUGAUUAGAAGGUUGAUUUCUGCUGGUCUCACACGGCAGGCUAUUCGGGCUUUCGAUGAAAUGCAUAUUUUUAUAGACGAAGAAAAUAGUGGAAGUUUUUCACAGUUCCGGUUUUGUUUUCUUCUUGAUACUCUAUGUAAAUAUGGGUAUGUUAAGGUAGCUAGUGAGUUGUUUAAUAAAGAGAAGUGGAGGCUUGAGUUGAAUGCGAAGAUUUACACAAUUUUGAUAUAUGGGUGGUUUAAGGUGAAGAAAAUCGAAAUGGCUGAGAAGUUUUUUAAGGAGAUGGUGCAGAAGGGAAUUGAGCCAAAUGUGGUAACUUAUAAUGUGAUGUUAAAUGGGAUCUGUAGGAAGGCGAGUUUGCACCCGGAUGAACGGUUUGAGAAGGUGAUAAGGAAUGCGGAGAAGGUGUUUGUGGAAAUGCGUGAUAGAGGUGUAGAGCCUGAUGUUACGAGUUAUUCCAUUUUGCUUCAUGUUUAUAGUAGAGCACAUAAACCUGCAUUAUCGCUUGAGAAGUUGAAGAUGAUGAAGGACAGAGGGAUUUGCCCUAAUGUGGCAACAUAUACCUCAGUUGUUAAAUGUCUUUGUUCUUGUGGAAGAAUAGAGGAUGCUGAGGUGUUGUUGGAUGAGAUGGUGUCAAAUGGGGUUAAUCCUGCAACUGUAACUUACAAUUGCUUUUUUAAGGAGUAUAGAGGGAGGAAAGAUACAGAAGGAGCCAUGAGGUUGUACAGAAAAAUGAAGGAAGAUGGUUCUUUCUGUUCACCAAGCAUACAUACUUAUAACAUACUGUUGGGGAUGUUCACGAAGGUAAAUAAGAUGGGACUUGCAAUGGAGAUUUGGGAGGAUAUGAAGGCUAGCAGGAUUGGACCAGACUUGGACACAUAUACAUUGUUAAUUCAUGGAUUGUGUGCGAGAAGGAAUUGGAGGGUUGCUUGUGAGCUUUUCAUGGAGAUGAUAGAGAAAGGAUAUCUUCCACAGAAGAUCACAUUUCAGACGCUGUAUAAAGGCUUAAUUCAAUCUGAUAUGUUGAGAACUUGGAGAAGGUUGAAAAAGAAACUCGAGGAAGAAUCAAUAACAUUUGGUUCAGAAUUUGAAACUUUGCACCUCAAGCCUUAUAGAAGGUGACAAGUUUACCAAAAGUUUUUGUGAGGAUCUGACAGGGGUCCAAAGAACUUUCUGUGAUACCGUUUUCUCAAGGCUUAGAUUGUGCGUUAUAAAAUACUCAAAGAUGCUUGAGGUGGCUCAGUUCCAUUAUUGCUAAGGGUCUUGCUGGUAAUAGAGGCUAAUCAAGAAUUCUAAGAGAAAAGUUGGACUAGUGGAUUUCACAGGGGAAGCAUGGUUUAAUAGUUCAUGAAAGUCUGAAGAGUAAUUUGCCCGUGUCAUGAAGAGAGAGGGAGUAUUUUGGUUGAUAUGUUCUAAUCAAGAUGGACAACAGCACCUGUUAAGCCAAAUGAUUGAAAAUGUCUGAUAAUGUGUUGAUAGUAUACAGAUAUUGUACCUUAUUUGGUUUGGAAGUAAAUGAUAAGAAUCUUUAUUAAAUGUGGAAUAAAUAAUGCUUAUCUUUAUUAAUAUGCGGAAGAGAUAAUGUCAGAAGAUUUGCUUA
Non-coding RNA from Coffea arabica (coffee), 2512 nucleotides. The record is from RefSeq and is a predicted model, not a curated record. Lineage: Eukaryota; Viridiplantae; Streptophyta; Magnoliopsida; Gentianales; Rubiaceae.